CCUACGGGAGGCAGCAGUGGGGAAUAUUGGACAAUGGGCGCAAGCCUGAUCCAGCAAUGCCGCGUGGAUGAAGAAGGUCUUCGGAUUGUAAAGUCCUUUCGGCGGGGACGAUGAUGACGGUACCCGCAGAAGAAGCCCCGGCUAACUUCGUGCCAGCAGCCGCGGUAAUACGAAGGGGGCUAGCGUUGCUCGGAAUGACUGGGCGUAAAGGGCGCGUAGGCGGUUUGGUCAGUUAGACGUGAAAUUCCUGGGCUCAACCUGGGGACUGCGUUUAAGACGGCCAGGCUUGAGUGUGAAAGAGGGUCGUGGAAUUCCCAGUGUAGAGGUGAAAUUCGUAGAUAUUGGGAAGAACACCGGUGGCGAAGGCGGCGACUUGGUUCAUUACUGACGCUGAGGCGCGAAAGCGUGGGGAGCAAACAGGAUUAGAUACCCUGGUAGUCCACGCCGUAAACGACGUGUGCUGGAUGUUGGGUGACCUAGUCACUCAGUGUCGUAGCUAACGCGAUAAGCACACCGCCUGGGGAGUACGGCCGCAAGGUUGAAACUUAAAGGAAUUGACGG
RNAcentral lists this ribosomal RNA (561 nucleotides) under uncultured bacterium. RNAcentral's name for it is "bacterial SSU rRNA". It matches the Rfam family "Bacterial small subunit ribosomal RNA", at positions 338 to 916 of the family's 1533-position model. The record is from RNAcentral.